This 282-nucleotide long non-coding RNA is filed under the name Trifolium pratense (red clover). RNAcentral's name for it is "long non-coding RNA (TPRA_LNC014417)". The record is from RNAcentral. Lineage: Eukaryota; Viridiplantae; Streptophyta; Magnoliopsida; Fabales; Fabaceae.
AUAUAAACUCAAAACAUUUUAUCUUAAUACUACCCCUCAAGCUAAAGCUUACUAAGCUUAUAAGCUUGUUACAAAAUUAACCCAGAAAAUUAAACUAAAUCAACUAAUAUCAUAACCAAGAGCCACAAAUAGUACCAAAAGAGGAACCUUCAGAGAUACAAGAGAAUCAAAUCAAACCAAUCUAACAUCCAUUUCAUCCAAUUCAGUCCAAGCUAACCAAAUCCAAACCAAUCCAACAAAUCCAAACUUUACCAAACCAAAUUGUUCCAAUCCAAACUGAAC